CUGGGUUAUGGAGAUAUGUACCCGGAGACAUGGUCAGGGAUGCUGGUGGGUGCGCUGUGUGCCUUGGCUGGUGUGCUAACCAUUGCUAUGCCUGUACCUGUCAUUGUCAACAAC
Non-coding RNA from Oreochromis niloticus (Nile tilapia), 114 nucleotides. NCBI's taxonomy places the organism in Eukaryota, Metazoa, Chordata, Actinopteri, Cichliformes, Cichlidae. The record is from Rfam.